This 605-nucleotide ribosomal RNA is filed under the name soil bacterium Dicl-S1P-M1LLLSSL-1. RNAcentral's name for it is "bacterial SSU rRNA". It matches the Rfam family "Bacterial small subunit ribosomal RNA", at positions 125 to 725 of the family's 1533-position model. The record is from RNAcentral.
UCUGCCUCGACGUGGGGGAUAACGUACGGAAACUUACACUAAUACCGCAUACGUCCUACGGGAGAAAGCGGGGGACCUUCGGGCCUCACGCGGUGAGACGAGCCGAUGUUCGAUUAGCUAGUUGGGAGGGUAAUGGCCUACCAAGGCGACGAUCGAUAGCUGGUCUGAGAGGAUGAUCAGCCACACUGGAACUGAGACACGGUCCACACUCCUACGGGAGGCAGCAGUGGGGAAUAUUGGACAAUGGGCGCAAGCCUGAUCCAGCCAUGCCGCGUGUGUGAAGAAGGCCUUCGGGUUGUAAAGCACUUUUAUCAAGAGCGAAAUACUACCGGUUAAUAACCGGUGGGGCUGACGGUACCUGAAGAAUAAGCACCGGCUAACUUCGUGCCAGCAGCCGCGGUAAUACGAAGGGUGCAAGCGUUAAUCGGAAUUACUGGGCGUAAAGGGUGCGUAUGCGGUUGUUUAAGUCUGUUGUGAAAUCCCCGGGCUCAACCUGGGAAUGGCAAUGGAUACUGGACACCUAAAGUGUGUCAGAGGAUGGUGGAAUUCCCGGUGUAUGGGUGAAUUGCUUAGAGAUCGGCAGGAACAUCAGUGGCUAAGGCGGC